RNAcentral lists this ribosomal RNA (549 nucleotides) under uncultured bacterium. RNAcentral describes it as "bacterial SSU rRNA". It matches the Rfam family "Bacterial small subunit ribosomal RNA", at positions 355 to 896 of the family's 1533-position model. The record is from RNAcentral.
UAGGGAAUCUUCGGCAAUGGACGGAAGUCUGACCGAGCAACGCCGCGUGAGUGAAGAAGGUUUUCGGAUCGUAAAGCUCUGUUGUAAGAGAAGAACGAGUGUGAGAGUGGAAAGUUCACACUGUGACGGUAACUUACCAGAAAGGGACGGCUAACUACGUGCCAGCAGCCGCGGUAAUACGUAGGUCCCGAGCGUUAUCCGGAUUUAUUGGGCGUAAAGCGAGCGCAGGCGGUUAGAUAAGUCUGAAGUUAAAGGCUGUGGCUUAACCAUAGUACGCUUUGGAAACUGUUUAACUUGAGUGCAGAAGGGGAGAGUGGAAUUCCAUGUGUAGCGGUGAAAUGCGUAGAUAUAUGGAGGAACACCGGUGGCGAAAGCGGCUCUCUGGUCUGUAACUGACGCUGAGGCUCGAAAGCGUGGGGAGCAAACAGGAUUAGAUACCCUGGUAGUCCACGCCGUAACGAUGAGUGCUAGGUGUUGGGUCCUUUCCGGGACUCAGUGCCGCAGCUAACGCAUUAAGCACUCCGCCUGGGGAGUACGACCACAAGGUUG